CAGUUGAAAAGGCAUGAUUCACCCUUAUAUCUCCUGAAUCCAACCUCCCAAUAUCACAUUCAAACACCCUUCUAAGCUCAACCAGCAAAACCUCACACACCUCCACCACAAGACUUAGGUCGAAUUCAAGAAGCCGAAACGCGCUCAAACAGCACCGCAGAAGUAGCUUCGCAUCCUCCGCCAAAAAUCCCAGAUCCGCAGCUUUCGCGCCCACAUGAGGAGGGCGAAUCAAUUGCCCCGAUCGUCUCUUUAGCUCUUCGAAGAUAAAAUUUGAGACAUUUAAAACAUCCGCAAAAUGUGAUCCCGAUUCUGAACCAGAAAAGUUGGAGAGUAGGGUAUGCAGCUGCUUCAGGAAAUCGGCCAUCAGAAAUUGAGAGGAAGCAGGAAUCAACAAACCCUAAUAAAGCAAAAUUAGGUUAUAAUUUGAAUAUUUUUUUCCAAAUAACGCUAAAGAAUAUUAUAAUUGGCUAAGUAACCCUACUAAAAAAAUAUUUGACAAAAUAACCCUCCUUUUCCCAAGUCAGGAUAAAAAAAAAUUUAAAGCAGUGAAUCAUUCACCGUCUCGUUCACCGUCUUUAAGAGACAGUACCUGAUUUACCGUCUUCGACGGUGAACGAUUUACCGUUUUCAUAAUUUUCUAUUAUACCGGUCGGGAUUAUACAUAAGAAAGAGAAAAAAAAAAUGGUUAGAAUUGUAUGUGGAUGAUAUGAAAAAUAGAAAAAAAUAAGAUUGUUAGGAUUAUACGUGGAUUAUUAAAAUUUUUAUUUGAUUGUUAGGAUUGUAUGGAUAGAUUAUUAGGAUUUUCAGAUUGUUAAGAUUAUAUGUAAUUUGUUAAAAUUUUUAUGUAGUUGUUAGGAUUAUAUAUGGGAUAUAGAAAGAAAUAGUAAAUAAGCGAAAGACGUUGAAUGAUUCACCACUUUUGUAAAAAAUUAGGAAGAAUCGUUUACCGUCUUCAUGAAGGUGGUAAAUCGUCCACCAUCUUUAUGAGAAAAUUUCAACGUGGCUCUUACAUGACAAAAAAAGGAUUAGUUUGCGAAAAAAUUUCAUAGGAUUAUUUACCCAAUUAGAAAAUUUUAUAGGGUCAUUUUGAAAAAAAAAGGUCCUUAUAAAUUUUCUUUUGAAAAACAAAACUAGGAGAGAGCAGAGGACGAGGGAGAUCACCUGUGGAGAGAAAAGUGGCUUCCGGCUUAAAAAGAAAGAGAGCAGUUGGCGAUCAAUUUUUCCUUCAAAAUGGUCUAACCAAAACCUAUGUAACAACCUAACGACUCGCAACCUAUCGAUGAUGAAAUCGCUGUGAGACGAGGAUGGCAGGAAGGAUGAUGGAGUCCUCUAUUUAUCUCUACUAGGUGAGAAUUAAAGAGUUUAGGAAAGGUUAGGAAGAGGUAAAGAGUGGGAAUUUGGAAAAAGUUGGCUAAGAAGAGCAGGAUUAGAGGGAAGGAAAUUGGAAGGUAGAGAGGAAAUGGAGGGAAGAUGAUAGGGGAAGAAGAAGAAGAUCCAAAUAAAAGUGGAGAGAGAGAGAAUUUGGGAAGAAAGAAAGUAGUAUCUAUACUUACUAGUGUAGAGCUAUUAUACUGUCGAAAGUAUAAAAGAGUUGGUGAUUUCGAUUUUUUAACUAUUGGAUCAAGAAUUGUAGGGUCAAGAUAAUAGUAGUCCCCUUCGAUUUUUUAACUAUAGGUUUAGUGCAUAAAACAAGGAAUCUAAAAACUAUUGAUCACAAGCAGAAGACGCAAAAAACAAGGACGAUUAAUUGAACAUAUGCCUUUUACAAAUUAAGACAGAAACUAUAGGUUUAGUGCAUUAUUUGUUUUGCCUGGGAUCAAUUGGAUUAUCCAGCUCUACUCAUCUAGCUAAGGUUAGAAAUGAGUAUCUUAACAUGUGUAUUGGCAAUUUGAAUUAUUGCUGAGGUCCACAUUGUGGUUCUCGAAGCAUUAAUGCGAGACCUUACGAGGUUUUCUGAAACAUGGUUGAGAACUCAGAUUGCAUAUUCAAUGCUGCAAGGGAAAGCCCUAGAAAACACAUAUAUGCAGCAGGAAAUAAUAUACAAAAGUAGAAAAAUUUUCAUGGUUAGCGUUCACUUCUAAAAGCCCAGCUACACUAUGUAAACAUAUACCAAAUGGGCUUUAAAUAAAGCCACAGCUUAAGAGCACUGGAAUUUAGCAAUGUAAAAUUUUUACAGCUUUAUGUAUCAUGGGAACCUUGAGAAAGACUAAGAUAUUAUAAGCAGAGUAAAUUUUAUUUACAUAAUAGAGAAUAGAAAAACAUUGUAGACAAUUACAGGAUUAACGAUGCCAGUAACACAACACAAUCUCAGAUUCUAGCUUAGAAUAAAAGGAAGAGAUGAAAGAUGCAAGUCCCAAAUAUGAGACUCGACAAAAUUAUUGACAAACUACUAAGACCAACUAUUAACAUAACAUUCAAUUCUUAAGAGAAUGAUUCAAAUUGCCAAUACACAUGUAAAGAUACUCAUCACCACAUAAAGCGGUCCUUUCAACUGGAAAUUCAUCAUCAUAAUAUAGAGUAUCUUUGUAGGGUUUAUAGGGCACAGGUUUGCGGGUGUGUUCAAAAUAAUACAAUUAGUUUGUUUUGCUCAGAUUCUAAUGAUAUUUUUUUUUUUGCUGCGACAGACACAAUAGCUUUUUAAACUAGAUAUUUUGCUUCUGAUUUUUUACGGGCUCAUUUUAACUUUUCCUGGAGCACAAACUUUGGACAUUUAAUUUAAUUUUUUUCCAGAUGCUGCUUGGAGUAGAGAAACUAUAUAAAGAUCAGGCAAAACAAAGGCUAAAAAUUAUCCUCAAUAAAUUCCAUCCUUAACAUGUGGGUCGGAUGCUUUCAACCUCCACAUCAUUAAACAAGAGAGCAUUCUCUAGCUCUGCCCAUGGACAAGAUCUUAACUCUAUAUCCGAACAAUUUUUGCAAUAACCAAUCAUAGUUAAAUGCCUAAGCUUUUUGUCUCUGAAGUGGUAGACAAGUAAACAAGAUUAAGUUUUACUCUGUUUCAUGACUCUACCUUUUAGCCUCAGCCAAAAAUCAGUGAAAAAAGGAAAAUAAUAUCAAAGAUAAUGAUUUGUAUUCAAGCAAGUCAAAAUAACUGUGCAUUCAGAAGAACACAGGAAUGAUCACAAAAUUCUGAAGAGCACUUGGGACAAUGCAAUUGUGUCCUUGUGAUGAGGCUUUUUCUGACAGAAAUAUGCAAUAGGAUACAUAUAACCUUAUCCACCUUAACAUCUCUAUAAACAGCAUUAUUCGGACAGCAUUUUGUUAACCACUGCUUAUGAAGUAUGGGUAAAGAACUAUUCACACGCAGCAUCUCGUUGAAAAUGUCAAACUAUUUUCAUUUCCCGUCACGGCAGUUUCAAAUCCUUAAUUAUCGAUGACAAUUUUGUGUAUGCUAGCUUUACCGGAAGUAAGCCAGAGUAAAACACAAACUAAGAUGUUACAAAGGGGAAACACAUACAGAAACUCAUUUAAACAAUAAAUCCAUUCAAAAUCAAAACAAAUAAUGCACUAAACCUAUUUAAACAACAUUUUAUAGCAUCAAUACAAACUAGAAAGAUUUUGCUCAUGGCAUAACAAUAAAUCCUUCAAAAAAUCAAAAAAAAAAUUGGGAUCUGAAAUAGGAAAAGGAAACGGAGAAGAAAUUACCGCACGAACCUUGUUUUGGAGCAAGGAAACCUCAGAAAUGGCGAGCGAUGCCGCUGCGAUUGGCGGAGGUGAUCAUGGCAUGGAUGCCCUAGGUCGAGAGAAGAGGUCGGGGAGAAUCUCGCAUGGUGAAGGUGAUCAUGGCAUGGAUGCCCUAGGUCGAGAGAAGAGGUCGGGGAGAGUCUCGCAUGGUGGAGGUCAUCAUGGCAUGGAUGCGAGGUCGGGGAGAGUCUCGCUGUGAGAGGGGAUCGCGACGGGGUCGAGGAGAGUCUCGCUGUGAGAGGGGAUCGCGACGGGGUCGGGGAGAGUCUCGCUGUGAGAGAGGAUGUAACAACCCUGAAGAAUAAAUGGUAGAAAUAGUAGUAGUAGUAGUUAGCAUGGUAGAGUAGUAAAAAUGUCAACUUUACAAAGUAGAGCAGAGAAGUGACAGCAGGAGGUUGGUGAGGAGUGAGCUCCGCGGAGCGAUCCGGCGGGAAGGCGCUCGGGCGGAACUCCGGCGGGAAGGAGCCUUCGAAGGGGGCUCAGGCGAGCUCGACGGAGCUAGGGCAUCCUCAAAGCUCGGAGAGAGCGACGGGAGGUCCGACGAAAUCCAUGUAGUUGGGGCGAAGGAGAGAGCCGGCGGAUCGGGCGGUCGGAUUACCGGAUCGGGCGUAAAACGCGGACCCAAGCCCCGCCGGAUUGCGGAUGAUGCGGAGAAGGCAGGAACCGACGCCCACUUACCGCUACGCACGGGUCGGGCGAACCAGGAGCUCGGAUCGGGGCGAAAUGGCGAACCCAAAACCCGCAGGGUUGCGGGUAGUGCAGAGAAGGGCGGACCCGAGUCCGUUUGCCCGCCUCCCAGGCGGUUUGGACCAAACAAGCCCACCCGAGGCCCACAAGGCAACCGGAUUCAACCCAUCAGGCCUCAUUCCCCAUUUUUGACAAAUUGCUGUUAACCCCUAGUAACUUAGUUCGCUUACAUUUCAGUACAAGUUGCAUAUGCUACAUAUAGUUAACAGGAUGUAAUUGCAAGGCAUGAAUGAAAUGAAUUAGUUUAUUUUCUUCCCCAAAAGUUCUUCUCCAAACCCUUCUUCUUCUCUACUUUUUCUCUUCCCAAUUCUUCUCUACACCUUUAUCUCUCUCUUAUUUCCCUCAAUUCUCCCCAAUUCUCCCUGAAUCUCCCCAAUCCCUUUUCUCCCUUAUCUCAAUUCCCCUCUUGACCUGCCAGUGAAGGACCAUCAUCCCCGUUGCCAUUCUAAUCUCAGCGAAUUCUCAUCAUUGAUGGUUGCAACAAGUCCGGAUUAACCACUGGGAUAUUACAGGGGAUCGGUUCUCAAAUGUGGGAGAGAGGAGAUAAUAGGCUAGGUUAACAUUACCCCAAUAAUUAAUGUGAGAUACCUACCCUCUCCCAAGAGAAUAGGAUUAGCACUUUGGAAUUAAUCUCAUUACCAAGUGAAUUUAAGAUUACCAAAUAGAUUACCUAAUGUAUUUAGCCAAACACCGUCAUAUUUUCACAUUCCGAUUGGAUUACUAUGUAUCUUAAAAAGAUAACGCGAACCAAACGCGCCCUUAAUUCCAAGUGUAACUUUCCAACACAAACUUACCAUAGUGGUAUCCGACCCAAAUUUCACAGACUGAAGCAUAAAUAACCUACACGGAAGGGGGGGUUUGGGGGAAGUGUUCCAAAAUUACCUCAACCACGGCAGUUGAAAAGGCAUGAUUCACCCUUAUAUCUCCUGAAUCCAACCUCCCAAUAUCACAUUCAAACACCCUUCUAAGCUCAACCAGCAAAACCUCACACACCUCCACCACAAGACUUAGGUCGAAUUCAAGAAGCCGAAACACGCUCAAACAGCACCGCAAAAGCAGCUUCACAUCCUUCGCCAAAAAUCCCAGAUCCGCAGCUUUCGCGCCCACAUGAGAAGGGCGAAUCAAUUGCCCCGAUCGUCUCUUUAGCUCUUCGAAGAUAAAAUUUGAGACAUUUAAAACAUCUGAAAAAUGUGAUCUCGAUUCUAAACCAGAAAAGUUGGAGAGUAGGGUACGCAGCUGCUUCAGGAAAUCAACCAUCAAAAAUUAAGAGGAAGCAGGAAUCAACAAACCCUAAUAAAGCAAAAUUAGGUUAUAAUUUGAAUAUAUUUUCCAAAUAACCCUAAAGAAUAUUAUAAUUGGCUAAGUAACCCUACUAAAAAAUAUUUGACAAAAUCACCAUCCUUUUGCCAAGUCAGGAUAAAAAAAAAAAUUUAAAGCAGUGAAUCAUUCACCGUCUUAGCUCAACCAGCAAAACCUCAACCACGGCAGUUGAAAAGGCAUGAUUCACCCUUAUAUCUCCUGAAACCAACCUCCCAAUAUCACAUUCAAACACCCUUCUAAGCUCAACCGGCAAAACCUCACACACCUCCACCACAAGACUUAGGUCGAAUUCAAGAAGCCGAAACACGCUCAAACAGCACCGCAGAAGCAGCUUCGCAUCCUUCGCCAAAAAUCCCAGAUCCGCAGCUUUCGCGCCCACAUGAGGAGGGCGAAUCAAUUGCCCCGAUCGUCUCUUUAGCUCUUCGAAGAUAAAAUUUGAGACAUUUAAAACAUCCGCAAAAUGUGAUCCCGAUUCUGAACCAGAAAAGUUGGAGAGUAGGGUAUGCAGCUGCUUCAGGAAAUCG
Molecule: long non-coding RNA, 6272 nt
Filed under: Ananas comosus (pineapple)
Lineage: Eukaryota; Viridiplantae; Streptophyta; Magnoliopsida; Poales; Bromeliaceae
Description: long non-coding RNA (ACOM_LNC035936)
Source: RNAcentral